This 630-nucleotide ribosomal RNA is filed under the name Triticum aestivum (bread wheat). RNAcentral's name for it is "partial small subunit ribosomal RNA". The record is from RNAcentral. Lineage: Eukaryota; Viridiplantae; Streptophyta; Magnoliopsida; Poales; Poaceae.
AUGGCCACCGGCGGCAGCUCUUCAGGCAAAGGAGAAGGUAAUCCCUAUCACCACUGUUGCCGGAAUUCUAGCCUACCCGAUCCAAGAGGAUCUAACAAUGGUAUCAGACCAUGUAAGGCUAAGAUUUUCGGUAAUCCCUCCCUCCCCCCAAGAAACCUAGACAGGGCAAAGAAAAAUUCCUCAACAGAGAAAGUAGCGCCGCCGUCAUGGCCGCGCCGUUCCUCUCGAUCCGGAUGGGAAUCGGCAUGCCGAGCCAUUCAGAAGAAGAACAUGGGCAGUGGGGGCACCACGCCUUCAUCACUGCCAAAAGAACAGACCCCAUCAGGGCAAAGGGGCACCGCGGCCAAACCGCUCGACGGCGGCGCGCUCACCACACGGGGAACGCGCAACCGGCGAGGGGGAUGGCAACGGCGCCACUGCAGGACUGCUCUGCCAUCGCCGCGGGCAGGGGGAGCACAGAAGGGCGGACCACGCGUCUCACUCCCUCUCUGUUACAGAAAGGAAAAGAGGGAAGGGAAAGAGCUCGCGCGGCGCGGUGGCACGACGUUGUCGCUGCCGGCCGCCGGAACCCCAUCCCGCUGCACCGAGCAGGGGAGCAGAAAAGGGCUCCACCGCGUCUCUCUCUGUUGA